Molecule: ribosomal RNA, 253 nt
Filed under: uncultured bacterium
Lineage: Bacteria
Description: partial 16S ribosomal RNA
Rfam family: Bacterial small subunit ribosomal RNA
Source: RNAcentral
UACGUAGGGGGCGAGCGUUGUCCGGAAUUAUUGGGCGUAAAGAGCUCGUAGGCGGUUUGUCGCGUCUGCUGUGAAAUCCCGAGGCUCAACCUCGGGCCUGCAGUGGGUACGGGCAGACUAGAGUGCGGUAGGGGAGAUUGGAAUUCCUGGUGUAGCGGUGGAAUGCGCAGAUAUCAGGAGGAACACCGAUGGCGAAGGCAGAUCUCUGGGCCGUAACUGACGCUGAGGAGCGAAAGCGUGGGGAGCGAACAGG